UACGGGGGGGGCAAGCGUUGUUCGGAAUUACUGGGCGUAAAGGGCUCGUAGGCGGCCAACUAAGUCAGACGUGAAAUCCCCAGGCUCAACCUGGGAACUGCGUCUGAUACUGGAUGGCUUGAAUCCGGGAGAGGGAUGCAGAAUUCCUGGUGUAGCGGUGAAAUGCGCAGAUAUCAGGAGGAACACCGAUGGCGAAGGCAGGUCUCUGGGCCACUACUGACGCUGAGAAGCGAAAGCAUGGGGAGCGAACAGG
RNAcentral lists this ribosomal RNA (253 nucleotides) under uncultured bacterium. Its description in RNAcentral is "partial 16S ribosomal RNA". It matches the Rfam family "Bacterial small subunit ribosomal RNA", at positions 524 to 776 of the family's 1533-position model. The record is from RNAcentral.